CAUUGUUUGUUCAUUCACCUUUCAAGAAACCGUCGUCAUCUGUGUGCAUUUUUUCAUUGCAAUUCUAUGCGUAGCUUCCAUUUUAACUCAAGGAGAAACAAGAUAUUACGUUGGCAAAGCGUCAUGUCCAGAUAUCAAUGAAGAAUAAAUGAAUUUUUGUGUGUUUUUGGGAUAUCCUAAGGGUCAAGGCAAUUGUCACUUGCAACUUUGUUGUUGCGAUUAAUAUAUGUUGCUUCUCAAAAAAUAUGUAAACACACCGUCUUUAUGACGAGUGGAAUAAUAAAUUUGUCGAUUUCAAUUUUAAAUAA
This is a long non-coding RNA of Lathyrus oleraceus (garden pea), 308 nucleotides long. RefSeq lists it as uncharacterized. Lineage: Eukaryota; Viridiplantae; Streptophyta; Magnoliopsida; Fabales; Fabaceae. The transcript has 2 exons. The record is from RefSeq and is a predicted model, not a curated record.